Molecule: ribosomal RNA, 253 nt
Filed under: uncultured bacterium
Lineage: Bacteria
Description: partial 16S ribosomal RNA
Rfam family: Bacterial small subunit ribosomal RNA
Source: RNAcentral
GCCGGAGGAGGCAAGCGUUAUCCGGAAUUAUUGGGCGUAAAGGGUACGUAGGCGGCUGGUCAAGUCUGGGGUCAAAGGCCACAGCUCAACUGUGGGGAGGCCCUGGAAACUGACCGGCUAGAGUGAGGUGGGGGUUGCGGGAAUUCCCGGUGUAGCGGUGAAAUGCGUAGAGAUCGGGAAGAACACCUGAGGCGGAAGCGCGCAACUGGGCCUCAACUGACGCUGAGGUACGAAAGCUAGGGGAGCGAAUGGG